AAUGGGCGCAGCCUGAUCCAGCCAUACCGCGUGGGUGAAGAAGGCCUUCGGGUUGUAAAGCCCUUUUGUUGGGAAAGAAAUCCAGCCGGCUAAUACCUGGUUGGGAUGACGGUACCCAAAGAAUAAGCACCGGCUAACUUCGUGCCAGCAGCCGCGGUAAUACGAAGGGUGCAAGCGUUACUCGGAAUUACUGGGCGUAAAGCGUGCGUAGGUGGUCGUUUAAGUCCGUUGUGAAAGCCCUGGGCUCAACCUGGGAACUGCAGUGGAUACUGGACGACUAGAGUGUGGUAGAGGGUAGCGGAAUUCCUGGUGUAGCAGUGAAAUGCGUAGAGAUCAGGAGGAACAUCCAUGGCGAAGGCAGCUACCUGGACCAACACUGACACUGAGGCACGAAAGCGUGGGGAGCAAACAGGAUUAGAUACCCUGGUAGUCCACGCCCUAAACGAUGCGAACUGGAUGUUGGGUGCAAUUUGGCACGCAGUAUCGAAGCUAACGCGUUAAGUUCGCCGCCUGGGGAGUACGGUCGCAAGACUGAAACUCAAAGAAUUUGGAGGG
Molecule: ribosomal RNA, 555 nt
Filed under: uncultured bacterium
Lineage: Bacteria
Description: bacterial SSU rRNA
Rfam family: Bacterial small subunit ribosomal RNA
Source: RNAcentral